AUUGAACGCUGGCGGCAGGCCUAACACAUGCAAGUCGAACGAGUGGCGGACGGGAGAGUAAUGUCUGGGAAACUGCCUGAUGGAGGGGGAUAACCACCGGAAACGGUAGCUAAUACCGCAUAACAUCAGAUGUGCCCAGAUGGGAUGAGCGUGUGGGUGGGGUAACGGCUCACCAAGGCGACGAUCCCUAGCUGGUCUGAGAGGAUGACCAGCCACACUGGAACUGAGACACGGUCCAGACUCCUGCGGGAGGCAGCAGUGGGGAAUAUUGCACAAUGGGCGCAAGCCUUAUGCAGCCAUGCCGCGUGUAUGAAGCAGGCCUUCGGGUUGUAAAGUACUUUCAGCGGGGAGGCGUUACCCGCAGAAGAAGCACCGGCUAACUCCGUGCCAGCAGCCGCGGUAAUAC
Molecule: ribosomal RNA, 406 nt
Filed under: uncultured bacterium
Lineage: Bacteria
Description: partial 16S ribosomal RNA
Rfam family: Bacterial small subunit ribosomal RNA
Source: RNAcentral